Long non-coding RNA from Mytilus trossulus (common blue mussel), 521 nucleotides. RefSeq lists it as uncharacterized. The transcript has 4 exons. NCBI's taxonomy places the organism in Eukaryota, Metazoa, Mollusca, Bivalvia, Mytilida, Mytilidae. The record is from RefSeq and is a predicted model, not a curated record.
UUGUACAGAUUAUCGCAAUUACACAUGCUUAUUUGAUGAAACCAGCAAUUCUUUUAAGGAGAGCUGUUCUAUUAAAUUCGACUUUCAAAGACCAGGCUACAGAGUUACUUUGCGAACUAAUAUUCAUGCCAAGGCUUGCCAAAAUGGUCUUUAUCAGCCUUUCAUUUUCUACACCAACACGUCCAGUAAUUGUGAGUUGCAGCGGUCAUUUUGCAGCGGAGAAGGGCAAAUUGUUUCAAAUAAUGGUUCGAUAAAAACCGACAGACAAUGUCGAUGUAAUUAUGCACAGGGCUAUGUGUUUGUCACCAAACCAAGAAAUAUAUGCUCCUGUAUUCCAUCACUGGAAGAUUGUACCUGUUAUCGCAAAAAGUGUCACAAAAACCUUAUUCUUUCUCCUGAUUACAUAUGUAUUGACCAAUUCAGUUGGUCCGGAAAAUUAAAUUGCUCAUCUAUUUCAGAUUCACGGAUACCUACAAUCACUGUUUCAAAAAAACCCGUUCAUACACAGGAAGAUAAGACAG